Long non-coding RNA from Chelonoidis abingdonii (Abingdon island giant tortoise), 543 nucleotides. RefSeq lists it as uncharacterized. The record is from RefSeq and is a predicted model, not a curated record. NCBI's taxonomy places the organism in Eukaryota, Metazoa, Chordata, Testudines, Testudinidae.
CAGCAUUUGUUUGAUAUAGAAUCCAUACUAGGUUGUACUUUUCUUUCCAGCGAAACGUAACUGAUCCUGAAUGCGAAGCAAAAUGACUCACUGAGCAUUUACGUGUCUACAGCUUUGCACAAGCUGCCAUGCCUCCGCAACAUGGCUGUGUGGACUAAGCAGGAAGCGUAGCCAGGACACACGCACACACACACACAGAUGCCAGAUAACUUCAGGAACAGAAAACUGCUCUACCCCUUGGAAGACAGCAUACAUGGGGAGGAGACACGCGUCCUUUCUGCUCCCAUCCCCAGCUGCUCGCCAGGCUGGGCUGGCACAUGCCAGCAUAGAACUAAUGCAAAGAUUAAGAACUAUGAGUGAAUGACAGCUCACCAUGGCUCCACAUGGCAGUCCCCAAGGCAAAGGAGUACCAGAGGCAAAGCUGUAGAUGUUCUGGAAACUGAUUUAAAACAGAGGCCUCUUUUGGGCAUAAACAAUCCCUGUUGUCAAAGCAGCUGGUAUUGCAGGAGGGACAGAAACAGUGAAAAGGAGGAGUGCCAUUGC